GAAAUGCGAUAAGUAAUGUGAAUUGCAGAAUUCAGUGAAUCAUCGAAUCUUUGAACGCAUCUUGCGCUCCUUGGUAUUCCGAGGAGCAUGCCUGUUUGAGUGUCAUUUUGAACUCUCAAAGCCCACAUCUUGAUGUGGCUUUGGACUUGGGGGCUUUUGCAGGCUUUUAAUGAAAGGCCUGCUCCCCUGAAAUUCAUUAGUGGUACCUGGAGUGGAAACCGCUAGGUGUUGAUAACAUUCAUCUAUGCCUUUGGUAUGCCGCGCAAAUGGGCUGCUUCGAAAACGCACAUGCUCUUGACAAACUUGACCUCAAAUCAGGUAGGACUACCCGCUGAACUUAA
This 341-nucleotide unclassified non-coding RNA is filed under the name uncultured Inocybe. RNAcentral describes it as "sequence contains ITS1". The stretch from base 1 to 105 matches the Rfam family "5.8S ribosomal RNA", at positions 50 to 154 of the family's 154-position model. The record is from RNAcentral. Lineage: Eukaryota; Fungi; Basidiomycota; Agaricomycetes; Agaricales; Cortinariaceae.